AGUGAACGCUGGCGGUAGGCCUAACACAUGCGAGUCGAACGGCAGCACAGUAAGAGCUUGCUCUUACGGGUGGCGAGUGGCGGACGGGUGAGGAAUACAUCGGAAUCUACUUUUUCGUGGGGGAUAACGUAGGGAAACUUACGCUAAUACCGCAUACGACCUACGGGUGAAAGCAGGGGAUCUUCGGACCUUGUGCGAUUGAAUGAGCCGAUGUCGGAUUAGCUAGUUGGCGGGGUAAAGGCCCACCAAGGCGACGAUCCGUAGCUGGUCUGAGAGGAUGAUCAGCCACACUGGAACUGAGACACGGUCCAGACUCCUACGGGAGGCAGCAGUGGGGAAUAUUGGACAAUGGGCGCAAGCCUGAUCCAGCCAUACCGCGUGGGUGAAGAAGGCCUUCGGGUUGUAAAGCCCUUUUGUUGGGAAAGAAAAGCAGCAGGUUAAUACCCCGCUGUUCUGACGGUACCCAAAGAAUAAGCACCGGCUAACUUCGUG
This 492-nucleotide ribosomal RNA is filed under the name uncultured bacterium. RNAcentral's name for it is "partial 16S ribosomal RNA". It matches the Rfam family "Bacterial small subunit ribosomal RNA", at positions 29 to 507 of the family's 1533-position model. The record is from RNAcentral.